GACGAACGCUGGCGGCGUGCCUAAUACAUGCAAGUCGAGCGAACAGACCAGGAUUUUGUUCCUCUGUCGUUAGCCGCGGGCGGGUGAGUAACACGUGGAUCCUCUACCUAUAAGACUGGGAUAACUUCGAGAAACGGGAGCUUAUACCGGAUAAUCUAUUGAACCGCAGGGUUCAAUAGUGAGAGACGGCUUUUCUGUCAGUUAUAGAUGCUUCCGCGCCGCAUUAGCUAGUUGGUAAGGUAACGGCUUACCAAGGCAACGAUGCGUAGCCGACCUGCGAGGGUGAUCGGCCACAGUGGAACUGGGACACGGUCCAGGCUCCUACGGGAGGCAGCAGUAGGGAAUCGGACGCAGUGGGCGAAAGCGUGACGGAGCAGCGGCGCGUGAGUGAUGGAGGUGUUGGGAUCGUGAAACUCUGUUAUUAGGGAAGAACAGAUGUGUAAGUAGCUGUACACGUCUUGACGGUACCGGAUCAGAAAGCCACGGCUAACUACGUG
Molecule: ribosomal RNA, 497 nt
Filed under: uncultured bacterium
Lineage: Bacteria
Description: partial 16S ribosomal RNA
Rfam family: Bacterial small subunit ribosomal RNA
Source: RNAcentral